Non-coding RNA from Tropilaelaps mercedesae, 46 nucleotides. Lineage: Eukaryota; Metazoa; Arthropoda; Arachnida; Mesostigmata; Laelapidae. The record is from Rfam.
CAAACGGCCCUUUUCAGGGCCACCGACCUUUACGAGGUUAAACAGU